Molecule: ribosomal RNA, 253 nt
Filed under: uncultured bacterium
Lineage: Bacteria
Description: partial 16S ribosomal RNA
Rfam family: Bacterial small subunit ribosomal RNA
Source: RNAcentral
CACGUAGGAGGCGAGCGUUGUCCGGAAUCAUUGGGCGUAAAGAGCGCGCAGGCGGCUUGGCAAGUCGGGUGUGAAAUCCCGGGGCUCAACCCCGUGACUGCAUUCGAUACUGUCAGGCUAGAGGUAGGUAGGGGAGAUCGGAAUUCCUGGUGUAGCGGUGAAAUGCGCAGAUAUCAGGAGGAACACCGGUGGCGAAGGCAGCCCCCUGGGUCAAGACUGACGCUCAUGCACGAAAGCGUGGGGAGCAAACAGG